Bison bison bison is the source of this 126-nucleotide ribosomal RNA. The record is from Ensembl. NCBI's taxonomy places the organism in Eukaryota, Metazoa, Chordata, Mammalia, Artiodactyla, Bovidae.
GUCUAUGGCCAGACCACACUGAACAUGCCUGAUCGUGUCUGAGCUCAGAAGCUAAGCAUGGUUGCGCCUGGUUAGUACUUGGAUGGAAGAUUAUACUCAUCCUGAUAAAAAUAUAGGCAAUAAAUC